RNAcentral lists this ribosomal RNA (122 nucleotides) under Halimeda discoidea. The record is from RNAcentral. Lineage: Eukaryota; Viridiplantae; Chlorophyta; Ulvophyceae; Bryopsidales; Halimedaceae.
UAGUGUCUAUAUUAGAUUUGAAACACUUCUUUCCUUUUCGAAUUUGAAAGUGAAACGAUCUAAGGGUUUAAUUACAUUACUGCAAGGGCAGCUUUGUGGGAAAAAAACCUGAUGCUAGAAGG